This 496-nucleotide ribosomal RNA is filed under the name uncultured bacterium. RNAcentral's name for it is "partial 16S ribosomal RNA". It matches the Rfam family "Bacterial small subunit ribosomal RNA", at positions 28 to 507 of the family's 1533-position model. The record is from RNAcentral.
GAUGAACGCUGGCGGCGUGCCUAAUACAUGCAAGUCGAGCGAACAGACGAGGAGCUUGCUCCUCUGACGUUAGCGGCGGACGGGUGAGUAACACGUGGUAACCUACCUAUAAGACUGGGAUUACUUCGGGAAACCGGAGCUAAUACCGGAUAAUAUAUUGAACCGCCUGGGUCAAUAGUGAAAGACGGUUUUGCUGUCACUUAUAGAUGGAUCCGCGCCGCAUUAGCUAGUUGGUAAGGUAACGGCUUACCAAGGCAACGAUGCGUAGCCGACCUGAGAGGGUGAUCGGCCACACUGGAACUGAGACACGGUCCAGACUCCUACGGGAGGCAGCAGUAGGGAAUCUUCCGCAAUGGGCGAAAGCCUGACGGAGCAACGCCGCGUGAGUGAUGAAGGUCUUCGGAUCGUAAAACUCUGUUAUUAGGGAAGAACAAAUGUGUAAGUAACUAUGCACGUCUUGACGGUACCUAAUCAGAAAGCCACGGCUAACUACGUG